Small nuclear RNA from Pteronotus mesoamericanus, 134 nucleotides. RefSeq annotates it as U4 spliceosomal RNA. The transcript has a single exon. The record is from RefSeq and is a predicted model, not a curated record. NCBI's taxonomy places the organism in Eukaryota, Metazoa, Chordata, Mammalia, Chiroptera, Mormoopidae.
AGCUUUGCAUAGUGGUAGUGUCAUAGCCAAUGCAGUUUUCCGAGGCUCAUUGUUGCUACUUGAAAGCUUUUCCCAAUACCUCACCAUGACGACUUGAAAUGCAGUCAGCAUUGGCAAUUAAAAAAAUUAUUUUU